GACGAACGCUGGCGGCGUGCUUAACACAUGCAAGUCGAACGGAAAGGCCCUGCUUUUGUGGGGUGCUCGAGUGGCGAACGGGUGAGUAACACGUGAGUAACCUGCCCUUUACUUUGGGAUAACUUCAGGAAACUGGGGCUAAUACCGGAUAGGAGCUCCUGCUGCAUGGUGGGGGUUGGAAAGUUUCGGCGGUUGGGGAUGGACUCGCGGCUUAUCAGCUUGUGGGUGGGGUAGUGGCUUACCAAGGCUUUGACGGGUAGCCGGCCUGAGAGGGUGACCGGCCACAUUGGGACUGAGAUACGGCCCAGACUCCUACGGGAGGCAGCAGUGGGGAAUAUUGCACAAUGGGCGGCAGCCUGAUGCAGCAACGCCGCGUGCGGGAUGACGGCCUUCGGGUUGUAAACCGCUUUCGCCUGUGACGAAGCGUGAGUGACGGUAAUGGGUAAAGAAGCACCGGCUAACUACGUG
Molecule: ribosomal RNA, 468 nt
Filed under: uncultured bacterium
Lineage: Bacteria
Description: partial 16S ribosomal RNA
Rfam family: Bacterial small subunit ribosomal RNA
Source: RNAcentral